GAUGAACGCUGGCGGCGUGCCUAAUACAUGCAAGUCGAGCGAACAGACGAGGAGCUUGCUCCUCUGACGUUAGCGGCGGACGGGUGAGUAACACGUGGAUAACCUACCUAUAAGACUGGGAUAACUUCGGGAAACCGGCGCUAAUACCGGAUAAUAUAUUGAACCGCAUGGUUCAAUAGUGAAAGACGGUUUUGCUGUCACUUAUCGAUGGAUCCGCGCCGCAUUAGCUAGUUGGUAAGUUAACGGCUUACCAAGGCAACGAUGCGUAGCCGACCUGAGAGGGUGAUCGGCCACACUGGAACUGAGACACGGUCCAGACUCCUACGGGAGGCAGCAGUAGGGAAUCUUCCGCAAUGGGCGAAAGCCUGACGGAGCAACGCCGCGUGAGUGAUGAAGGUCUUCGGAUCGUAAAACUCUGUUAUUAGGGAAGAACAAAUGUGUAAGUAACUAUGCACGUCUUGACGGUACCUAAUCAGAAAGCCACGGCUAACUACGUG
Molecule: ribosomal RNA, 497 nt
Filed under: uncultured bacterium
Lineage: Bacteria
Description: partial 16S ribosomal RNA
Rfam family: Bacterial small subunit ribosomal RNA
Source: RNAcentral